Thoreauomyces humboldtii is the source of this 72-nucleotide non-coding RNA. The record is from the annotation of a GenBank genome assembly. NCBI's taxonomy places the organism in Eukaryota, Fungi, Chytridiomycota, Chytridiomycetes, Spizellomycetales, Powellomycetaceae.
GAAUCAGUAGUAUAGUGGUUAAUAUACUCGCCUUCCAAGCGAGUGUCCCGAGUUCGAAUCUCGGCUGAUUCA